UUUUUUCUGAGAAUUUGAUCUUGGUUCAGAUUGAACGCUGGCGGCGUGGAUGAGGCAUGCAAGUCGAACGGAAUAAUGACUUCGGUUGUUAUUUAGUGGCGGAAGGGUUAGUAAUACAUAGAUAAUCUGUCCUCAACUUGGGAAUAACGGUUGGAAACGACCGCUAAUACCGAAUGUGGUAUGUUUAGGCAUCUAAAACAUAUUAAAGAAGGGGAUCUUCGGACCUUUCGGUUGAGGGAGAGUCUAUGGGAUAUCAGCUUGUUGGUGGGGUAAUGGCCUACCAAGGCUUUGACGUCUAGGCGGAUUGAGAGAUUGACCGCCAACACUGGGACUGAGACACUGCCCAGACUUCUACGGAAGGCUGCAGUCGAGAAUCUUUCGCAAUGGACGAAAGUCUGACGAAGCGACGCCGCGUGUGUGAUGAAGGCUCUAGGGUUGUAAAGCACUUUCGCUUGGGAAUAAGAGAGAUUGGCUAAUAUCCAAUCGAUUUGAGCGUACCAGGUAAAGAAGCACCGGCUAACUCCGUGCCAGCAGCUGCGGUAAUACGGAGGGUGCUAGCGUUAAUCGGAUUUAUUGGGCGUAAAGGGCGUGUAGGCGGAAAGGAAGUUAGAUGUUAAAUCUUGGGGCUCAACCCCAAGCCAGCAUCUAAUACUAUCUUUCUAGAGGGUAGAUGGAGAAAAGGGAAUUCCACGUGUAGCGGUGAAAUGCGUAGAUAUGUGGAAGAACACCAGUGGCGAAGGCGCUUUUCUAAUUUACACCUGACGCUAAGGCGCGAAAGCAAGGGAGCAACAGGAUUAGAUACCCUGGUAGUCCUUGCCGUAAACGAUGCAUACUUGAUGUGGAUAGUCUCAACCCUAUCCGUGUCGUAGCUAACGCGUUAAGUAUGCCGCCUGAGGAGUACACUCGCAAGGGUGAAACUCAAAAGAAUUGACGGGGGCCCGCACAAGCAGUGGAGCAUGUGGUUUAAUUCGAUGCAACGCGAAGAACCUUACCUGGGCUUGACAUGUAUUUGACCGCGGCAGAAAUGUCGUUUUCCGCAAGGACAGAUACACAGGUGCUGCAUGGCUGUCGUCAGCUCGUGCCGUGAGGUGUUGGGUUAAGUCCCGCAACGAGCGCAACCCUUAUCGUUAGUUGCCAACACUUAGGGUGGGAACUCUAACGAGACUGCCUGGGUUAACCAGGAGGAAGGCGAGGAUGACGUCAAGUCAGCAUGGCCCUUAUGCCCAGGGCUACACACGUGCUACAAUGGCCAGUACAGAAGGUAGCAAUAUCGUGAGAUGGAGCAAAUCCUCAAAGCUGGCCCCAGUUCGGAUUGUAGUCUGCAACUCGACUACAUGAAGUCGGAAUUGCUAGUAAUGGCGUGUCAGCUAUAACGCCGUGAAUACGUUCCCGGGCCUUGUACACACCGCCCGUCACAUCAUGGGAGUUGGUUUUGCCUUAAGUCGUUGACUCAACCUGCAAAGGAGAGAGGCGCCCAAGGUGAGGCUGAUGACUGGGAUGAAGUCGUAACAAGGUAGCCCUACCGGAAGGUGGGGCUGGAUCACCUCCUUU
Molecule: ribosomal RNA, 1551 nt
Filed under: Chlamydia psittaci VS225
Lineage: Bacteria; Pseudomonadati; Chlamydiota; Chlamydiia; Chlamydiales; Chlamydiaceae
Description: 16S ribosomal RNA
Rfam family: Bacterial small subunit ribosomal RNA
Source: RNAcentral